GCGGGAAUAGCUCAGUGGUAGAGCACAACCUUGCCAAGGCUGGGGUCGCGAGUUCGAAUCUCGUUUCCCGCUCCA
RNAcentral lists this transfer RNA (75 nucleotides) under Candidatus Oceanisphaera merdipullorum. RNAcentral's name for it is "tRNA-Gly". It matches the Rfam family "tRNA". Rfam says of the family: Transfer RNA (tRNA) molecules are approximately 80 nucleotides in length. Lineage: Bacteria; Pseudomonadati; Pseudomonadota; Gammaproteobacteria; Aeromonadales; Aeromonadaceae. The record is from RNAcentral.